CCUAUUCGCUAUUCUAUUCUGUACUGCAUUUUAUCGCCCAGAUUUUAGUUAGCCUCUGUUCAAUUGACUGUUAUAUGUCAAUAGAAUCAUAUUUCACAAAUUAAAGUGUCUUGUAAAUUAUGGGUUUUUUUCUCAAGAAUUUUCUUCCUAAAUCUCUUACAUGCUAACUGUAACUUGUUACUUCUGCUAAAACCUGAACUUAAAUGUGUAUAUGGUGUUUUAUCUGUUUUUCUCUGUUUUAGAUGCACAUAUCAAUCUGGCAUUCAGGCUUAAAGCCAGAAUUGCAGGAAUGCAACACGUGUUGCAGGGGACUCUUUCACUGCCCUCUGUGCCCCAGUUUCAGCCCUACUGUCAGGGCAAAGAUUGAGGAGCAUCUAAAUGUGCAUAUAAAAAAUGCUUUGCCUUUCAAAGAUAAAAUGAUAUGCCGGUGCAGGCUUCCUUGUAGGACAACAGGACACUUUCACUGCCCUGUCUGUGAGAUUACAAUCAUACAGCGUGGGGAUAUGGCAAGGCAUUUAUUGUCUUGUCAGCAUUCUUCAAUGCCAAGUCAGCCACCAUUAUCAGGACUGCUCCCCGCUGAACUCUCCAAGGAGCCCCGUCUCCCUCCGGCAGCACUCUCCGAGGAGCCCUGUCUUCUUCCAGCAGCACUCUCCGAGGAGACCCGUAUUCCUCCGGCAGCACUCUCCGUGGAGCCCCACCUCUCUCCCGCUGCACUCUCCGUGGAGCCACAUCUCCCUCUUGAUGUCUUGUCUCCAGCAUAUAAACCAUUUUCUGAAUCUUCAGUAGAACAUUCAUGUGUUCUACCCUCUGUGCUGAAUGAAACUGUGGCUUGUGGAAAGUCCAUGAAAAUGAAACGCCCUCACUGUGGUCUUAGUCUUCUUACAAAAAAACCUUCAAGGCUCACAUGAUUAGGAGGCAUUCAAACAGAUCAAUAGAUGUUUGCCUGACCUGUCAUCUGCUGUGUUUUUGUGUAGAGGGACUUCUUCCUCUUUGUUUUUCAGUUUGCAGGGGACAUGGAGCUCUUUUUAAAAGCA
Long non-coding RNA from Oreochromis niloticus (Nile tilapia), 1034 nucleotides. RefSeq lists it as uncharacterized. NCBI's taxonomy places the organism in Eukaryota, Metazoa, Chordata, Actinopteri, Cichliformes, Cichlidae. The record is from RefSeq and is a predicted model, not a curated record. The transcript has 2 exons.